Molecule: ribosomal RNA, 576 nt
Filed under: Stylodactylus multidentatus
Lineage: Eukaryota; Metazoa; Arthropoda; Malacostraca; Decapoda; Stylodactylidae
Description: partial 16S ribosomal RNA
Rfam family: Bacterial large subunit ribosomal RNA
Source: RNAcentral
UUCGCCUGUUUAUCAAAAACAUGUCUGUGUGAAGGCAAUACAGAGUCUAACCUGCCCACUGAAUUUUAAAGGGCCGCGGUAAUUUGACCGUGCGAAGGUAGCAUAAUCAAUAGCCUCUUAAUUGGAGGCUGGAAUGAAUGGUUGAACAAAAGGAAAGCUGUCUUACUGGUAUAAAUUAAACUUUACUUUUAAGUGAAAAGGCUUAAAUGAACUGAAGGGACGAUAAGACCCUAUAAAACUUUACAGGUGAACUUUAAUUUUUAAAUUUAUAUUAAAUAGAAUUAAAUAUAGCUUGUUGGGCUGGGGCGGCUUUAAUAAAUUAUUAACUGUUUUGAAAAUUAAAUAUUUAUAAAUAGAUUAUUGAUCCUUUUUUAAGGAUUAGAAGUAUAAGUUACUUUAGGGAUAACAGCGUGAUUUUUCUUGAGAGUUCUUAUCGACAGAAUUAGUUGCGACCUCGAUGUUGAAUUAAGGGUUACUUAAAUAAGUAGAAGUAUUUAAAGUGCGUCUGUUCGACGUUUAAAUCCUUACAUGAUUUGAGUUCAAACCGGUGUGAGCCAGGUUGGGUUUCUAUCUAAA